CGAAAGCUCUUCCUCAGGAUUGUGAAUUCCAUCCGAGAGUUUGACAACUACUUCAAGUGCAAGAUGGAUUGCACUGGCGCUCUUGGAUUCACCUCCAUCCAGAAGUGCACGACAGCGAUGAGGAUGCUUGCAUAUGGAGCUCCCAGUGAUUCACUCGGCGACUAUGGGCGCAUGGCCGAGUCCACCAGCAUAGAGUGUUUCUACAAGUUCUGUCGGGCAGUGGUGGCAGUGUUUGGGCCACAAUACUUGAGAACACCCAAUACGGAAGACACUGCUCGGAUCCUAGCCCAGAAUGCAGCAAGAGGAUUUCCUGGGAUGCUUGGAAGCAUCGACUGCAUGCAUUGGAAAUGA
RNAcentral lists this ribosomal RNA (351 nucleotides) under Triticum aestivum (bread wheat). RNAcentral describes it as "partial small subunit ribosomal RNA". The record is from RNAcentral. Lineage: Eukaryota; Viridiplantae; Streptophyta; Magnoliopsida; Poales; Poaceae.